UACGGGGGGGGCAAGCGUUGUUCGGAAUUACUGGGCGUAAAGGGCGCGUAGGCGGUUCGUUAAGUCCUGUGUGAAAUCCCCCGGCUCAACUGGGGAACUGCACAGGAAACUAGCGGGCUUGAGUUCGGGAGAGGGAAGCGGAAUUCCGGGUGUAGCGGUGAAAUUCGUAGAUAUCAGGAGGAACACCAGUGGCGAAGGCGGCUUCCUGGACACCAACUGACGCUGAGACGCGAAAGCGUGGGGAGCAAACAGG
RNAcentral lists this ribosomal RNA (253 nucleotides) under uncultured bacterium. Its description in RNAcentral is "partial 16S ribosomal RNA". It matches the Rfam family "Bacterial small subunit ribosomal RNA", at positions 524 to 776 of the family's 1533-position model. The record is from RNAcentral.